AGUGAACGCUGGCGGUAGGCCUAACACAUGCAAGUCGAACGGCAGCACAGAGGAGCUUGCUCCUUGGGUGGCGAGUGGCGGACGGGUGAGGAAUACAUCGGAAUCUACUCUGUCGUGGGGGAUAACGUAGGGAAACUUACGCUAAUACCGCAUACGACCUACGGGUGAAAGCAGGGGACCUUCGGGCCUUGCGCGAUUGAAUGAGCCGAUGUCGGAUCAGCUAGUUGGCGGGGUAAAGGCCCACCAAGGCGACGAUCCGUAGCUGGUCUGAGGGGAUGAUCAGCCACACUGGAACUGAGACACGGUCCAGACUCCUACGGGAGGAAGCAGUGGGGAAUAUUGGACAGUGGGCGCAAGCCUGAUCCAGCCACACCGCGUGGGUGAAGAAGGCCUUCGGGUUGUAAAGCCCUUUUGUUGGGAAAGAAAUCCAGCUGGCUAAUACCCGGUUGGGAUGACGGUACCCAAAGAAUAAGCACCGGCUAACUUCGUGCCAGCCGCCGCCGUAA
This 506-nucleotide ribosomal RNA is filed under the name uncultured bacterium. Its description in RNAcentral is "partial 16S ribosomal RNA". It matches the Rfam family "Bacterial small subunit ribosomal RNA", at positions 29 to 523 of the family's 1533-position model. The record is from RNAcentral.